Molecule: ribosomal RNA, 1446 nt
Filed under: uncultured Pseudomonadota bacterium
Lineage: Bacteria; Pseudomonadati; Pseudomonadota
Description: uncultured proteobacterium partial 16S ribosomal RNA
Rfam family: Bacterial small subunit ribosomal RNA
Source: RNAcentral
AACGAACGCUGGCGGCAGGCCUAACACAUGCAAGUCGAACGAGAAAUUUCCCGCUUGCGGGAGAAAGUAAAGUGGCGCACGGGUGAGUAUCGCGUGGUUAAUCUGCCCUUGAGUGGGGAAUAACGUACCGAAAGGUGCACUAAUACCGCAUAAGACCACAGUGUCCGCGGACACAGGGGUCAAAGGGGGCUUUAAGCUCUCGCUUGAGGAUGAGACCGCGUCCCAUUAGCUUGUUGGUGAGGUAACGGCUCACCAAGGCCGCGAUGGGUAGCUGAUCUGAGAGGAUGAUCAGCCACACUGGAACUGAAACACGGUCCAGACUCCUACGGGAGGCAGCAGUGAGGAAUAUUGCGCAAUGGGGGAAACCCUGACGCAGCCAUGCCGCGUGGGUGACGAAGGCCUUCGGGUCGUAAAGCCCUGUCAGAUGGAAAGAACAACCCAUGGGUUAAUACCCCAUGGGCCUGACGGUACCAUCAAAGGAAGCACCGGCUAACUCCGUGCCAGCAGCCGCGGUAAUACGGGGGGUGCAAGCGUUGUUCGGAAUUACUGGGCGUAAAGGGCGCGUAGGCGGUUUGGUAAGUCAGACGUGAAAGCCCCAGGCUCAACCUGGGAAGUGCGUUUGAUACUGCUUGACUUGAGUCCUGGAGAGGGUUGUGGAAUUCCUGGUGUAGAGGUGAAAUUCGUAGAUAUUAGAAGGAACACCAGUGGCGAAGGCGGCUUGCUGGGCCAUUACUGACGCUGAGACACGAAAGCGUGGGGAGCAAAUAGGAUUAGAUACCCUAGUAGUCCACGCCGUAAACGAUGAGUACUAAGUGUUGGGGUUACCCAGUGCUGAAGUUAACACAUUAAGUACUCCGCCUGAGUAGUACGGUCGCAAGACUGAAACUCAAAGGAAUUGACGGGCACCCGCACAAGCGGUGGAGCAUGCCGUUUAAUUCGAAGCUACGCGAAGAACCUUACCUAGACUUGACAUCCCUGGCAAUCGCUUAGAAAUAAGCGUGAGGUUACCCAGGUGACAGGUGGUGCAUGGUUGUCGUCAGCUCGUGUCGUGAGAUGUUGGGUUAAGUCCCGCAACGAGCGCAACCCUUGUCUUUAGUUACUAACAUUUAGUUGAGCACUCUAAAGAGACUGCCGGUGAUAAACCGGAGGAAGGUGGGGAUGACGUCAAAUCAUCAUGCCCCUUACGUCUAGGGCUACAGGCGUGCUACAAUGGCCAGUAUAAUGGGUCGCAAUACCGUGAGGUGGAGCUAAUCCUCAAAACUGGUCCCAGUUCGGAUCGAAGUCUGCAACUCGACUUCGUGAAGUUGGAAUCGCUAGUAAUCGUGAAUCAGAAUGUCACGGUGAAUACGUUCCCGGGUGUUGUACACACCGCCCGUCAUGCCAUGAGAGUUGGUAAUACCCGAAGCCGGCCUAGGGUCGUCGAAGGUAGGAUCAAUGAUUGGGGUA